AGAGCGAACGCUAGCGGCGGGCCUAACACAUGCAAGUCGAGCGCGUGGCUUCGGCCACGAGCGGCGGACGGGUGAGUAACACGUAGGUCAUUUACCCUCUGGUGGGGAAUAACCCGGGGAAACCCGAGCUAAUACCGCAUAUGGUCUUCGGAUCAAAGCCUUCGGGCGCCAGAGGAUGAGCCUGCGUCCCAUUACCUAGUUGGUAGGGUAACCGGCCGUACCAAGGGGACGAUGGGUAGCUGAUCUGAGAGGAUGAUCAGCCACACUGGGACUGAGACCGACGGCCCAGACCUCCGUACGGGAGGCAGCGAGGUGGGAAUAUGCGCAAGUGGGACGAAACGCCUGACGCACGCGUACGCCGCGGUGGUGGACGU
RNAcentral lists this ribosomal RNA (374 nucleotides) under uncultured soil bacterium. Its description in RNAcentral is "bacterial SSU rRNA". It matches the Rfam family "Bacterial small subunit ribosomal RNA", at positions 26 to 411 of the family's 1533-position model. The record is from RNAcentral.